This 1007-nucleotide ribosomal RNA is filed under the name Streptomyces sp. 1A12. RNAcentral describes it as "bacterial SSU rRNA". It matches the Rfam family "Bacterial small subunit ribosomal RNA", at positions 527 to 1533 of the family's 1533-position model. The record is from RNAcentral. Lineage: Bacteria; Bacillati; Actinomycetota; Actinomycetes; Kitasatosporales; Streptomycetaceae.
GGGGGGGGUUAAUGUUGACUAAUUAUUCGCGAAAGACAUGGAGGGCGUCUCGUCGGUCGGAUGUGGAAGCCGGGUCUAACGGGAUGUGAUGCGAUACGGGCAGGCUAAGUUCGGAAGAGAGAUCGGAUUCCUGGUGUGGCGGGGAAAUGGGCAAAUAUCAGGAGGACACCGGUGGCGAAAGCGGAUUGGGGGCCGAUACUGACGCUGAGGAGCGAAAGCGUGGGAACGAAAAGGAUUAAAUACCCGGGUAGUCCACGCCGUAAACGUUGGGGACUAAGUGUGGGCGGCAUUCCACGUCGUCCGUGCCGCAGCUAACGCAUUGAAUGCCCCGCCUGGGGAGUACCGCCGCAAGGCUAAAACUCAGAAGAUUUGACGGGGGCCCGCACAAGCGGCGGAGCUUGUGUCUUAUUUCGACGCAACGCGAAAAAACCUUACCGGGGGUUUGACAUACACCGGAAAUCGGGAGAAGAUGGGCCGCCCCCUUGGGGUCGGUGUACAGGGUGGUGCAUGGUUUGUCGUCAGCUGCUGUCGUGAGAAUGUUGGGGUUAAUUCCCCCCACGACCGCACCCCUUUGUUCUGUGUUGCCAGCGUGCUUUUUCGGGGUGACGGGGAACUCACAGGAGACUGCCCGGGGUCAACUCGGAGGAGGGUGGGGGACAACUUCCAGUCCUCCAUGCCCCCUUAGGUCUUGGGCUGCACACGUGCUUAAAAUGACCGGGUACAUUGAGCUGCGAUGCCGUGAGGGGGAACCGAAUCUCAAAUAGCCGGUCUCAGUUUCGGAUUGGGGUCUGCACUUCACCCCUGAAGUCGGUAGUCGUAGUAAUCCAAAAUCAGCACGUGCUGCGUGUAAUAGGUUCCCGGGCCUUGAACACACCGCCCCGUCAGGUCUAUGAAAGUCGGUAACACCGGAGAGCGUGUGGCCCACCCCUUGUGGGCAGAGGAUUCGACGAAAUGGUGGUGACUGGGCGAUUUGGCACCAAGUCAUCACACAGGUUAUCAGAAACCUU